This 445-nucleotide ribosomal RNA is filed under the name uncultured bacterium. RNAcentral describes it as "SSU rRNA". It matches the Rfam family "Bacterial small subunit ribosomal RNA", at positions 26 to 518 of the family's 1533-position model. The record is from RNAcentral.
AGAGCGAACGCUGGCGGCAGGCCUAAUACAUGCAAGUCGAACGGACCCUUCGGGGUUAGUGGCGGACGGGUGAGUAACGCGUAGGUAUCUAUCCUUGGGUGGGGGACAACUGUGGGAAACUACAGCUAAUACCGCAUGAUAACUGAGGUUUAAAGGCGCAAGUCGCCUGGGGAGGAGCCUGCGUACGAUUAGCUUGUUGGUGGGGUAAAGGCCUACCAAGGCGACGAUCGUUAGCUGGUCUGAGAGGAUGAUCAGCCACAUUGGGACUGAGACACGGCCCAAACUCCUACGGGAGGCAGCAGUGGGGAAUAUUGGACAAUGGGCGCAAGCCUGAUCCAGCAAUGCCGCGUGUGUGAAGAAGGUCUUCGGAUUGUAAAGCACUUUCGACGGGACGAUGAUGACGGUACCCGUAGAAGAAGCCCGGCUAACUCGCGCCAGCAGCCGC